Molecule: ribosomal RNA, 617 nt
Filed under: uncultured bacterium
Lineage: Bacteria
Description: bacterial SSU rRNA
Rfam family: Bacterial small subunit ribosomal RNA
Source: RNAcentral
GAAAUAGGUGCCAAUACCGCAUAAGCGCACAGAGCCGCAUGGCUCAGUGUGAAAAACUCCGGUGGUGUAAGAUGGAUCCGCGUCUGAUUAGCUGGUUGGCGGGGUAGAAGCCCACCAAGGCGACGAUCAGUAGCCGGCCUGAGAGGGUGAACGGCCACAUUGGGACUGAGACACGGCCCAAACUCCUACGGGAGGCAGCAGUGGGGAAUAUUGCACAAUGGGGGAAACCCUGAUGCAGCAACGCCGCGUGAGUGAAGAAGUCAUUCGUGAUGUAAAGCUCUAUCAGCAGGGAAGAAAAUGACGGUUCCUGAGUAAGAAGCCCCGGCUAACUACGUGCCAGCAGCCGCGGUAAUACGUAGGGGGCAAGCGUUAUCCGGAUUUACUGGGUGUAAAGGGAGCGUAGACGGCCAGACAAGUCUGAAGUGAAAAUCCAGCGCUUAACGUUGGAAGUGCUUUGGAAACUGCCGGGCUAGAGUGCAGGAGGGGCAGGCGGAAUUCCUAGUGUAGCGGUGAAAUGCGUAGAUAUUAGGAGGAACACCAGUGGCGAAGGCGGCCUGCUGGACUGCAACUGACGUUGAGGCUCGAAGGCGUGGGGAGCAAACAGGAUUAGAUACCCU